CCUACGGGUGGCAGCAGUGGGGAAUAUUGGACAAUGGGCGAAAGCCUGAUCCAGCCAUGCCGCGUGUGUGAAGAAGGCCUUCGGGUUGUAAAGCACUUUCAGUGGGGAAGAAAGCCUUGGGGCUAAUACCCUCGAGGAAGGACAUCACCCACAGAAGAAGCACCGGCUAACUCCGUGCCAGCAGCCGCGGUAAUACGGAGGGUGCGAGCGUUAAUCGGAAUUACUGGGCGUAAAGCGCGCGUAGGCGGUCUGAUAAGCCGGUUGUGAAAGCCCCGGGCUCAACCUGGGAACGGCAUCCGGAACGGUCAGGCUAGAGUGCAGGAGAGGAAGGUAGAAUUCCCGGUGUAGCGGUGAAAUGCGUAGAGAUCGGGAGGAAUACCAGUGGCGAAGGCGACCUUCUGGACUGACACUGACGCUGAGGUGCGAAAGCGUGGGUAGCAAACAGGAUUAGAUACCCCAUAGUC
RNAcentral lists this ribosomal RNA (464 nucleotides) under Vreelandella stevensii. Its description in RNAcentral is "partial 16S ribosomal RNA". It matches the Rfam family "Bacterial small subunit ribosomal RNA", at positions 338 to 795 of the family's 1533-position model. Lineage: Bacteria; Pseudomonadati; Pseudomonadota; Gammaproteobacteria; Oceanospirillales; Halomonadaceae. The record is from RNAcentral.